RNAcentral lists this ribosomal RNA (409 nucleotides) under uncultured bacterium. RNAcentral describes it as "bacterial SSU rRNA". It matches the Rfam family "Bacterial small subunit ribosomal RNA", at positions 355 to 776 of the family's 1533-position model. RNAcentral also lists the same sequence under 2 other names. The record is from RNAcentral.
UGGGGAAUAUUGCACAAUGGGCGCAAGCCUGAUGCAGCAACGCCGCGUGCGGGAUGACGGCCUUCGGGUUGUAAACCGCUUUCAGCAGGGACGAAGCGCAAGUGACGGUACCUGCAGAAGAAGCACCGGCUAACUACGUGCCAGCAGCCGCGGUGAUACGUAGGGUGCGAGCGUUGUCCGGAUUUAUUGGGCGUAAAGAGCUUGUAGGCGGUCGGUCACGUCGAAAGUGCAAACUCAGGGCUUAACCCUGAGCCUGCUUUCGAUACGGGCUGACUAGAGGAAGGUAGGGGAGAAUGGAAUUCCCGGUGGAGCGGUGGAAUGCGCAGAUAUCGGGAGGAACACCAGUGGCGAAGGCGGUUCUCUGGACCUUUCCUGACGCUGAGAAGCGAAAGCGUGGGGAGCAAACAGG